This 399-nucleotide unclassified non-coding RNA is filed under the name Hevea brasiliensis (rubber tree). The record is from RNAcentral. Lineage: Eukaryota; Viridiplantae; Streptophyta; Magnoliopsida; Malpighiales; Euphorbiaceae.
CAGGAAUUAAGGUACCCAUCAUACAGAGAUUUCCACUGGUUACAUUGCUGGCAUUACCAGCAUACACCAAGGGAAGCAUUUUAUUAAGUAAUGAAUCACCCGCGUAAAGUGAAACGCCGGAGAAAUUUUUACCAUUGCCAAGGCUUACAUAUGCUGGAAAAUCACGGUCAAUUGUUCCAGCACCGACUGUGGUGAUCCAAGGUGCUUGGUUGGCCAAACUGAAUUGAUUAGGUCCAGCAUUUCCAGCAGAGCAAGAAACCAAAAUACCCUUCUCCAUAGCAGCAAAAGCUCCAAUUGCAAUGCUAUCUUUGUAGUAAUCUGGUGUGCUUCCACCAAGUGAUAAUGAAAGCACAUCAACUUUAUCAUCAAUGGCUUUGUCCAUCCCUGCCAAUAUGUCAG